GGGACCGUCGUCUAGCCUGGACUAGGAUGCAGGCCUGGGGAUAAAUCCCUAACCAGUACGCCUGUGGUCCCGGGUUCAAAUCCCGGCGGUCCCA
This 94-nucleotide transfer RNA is filed under the name Sulfurisphaera ohwakuensis. RNAcentral describes it as "tRNA-Pro". It matches the Rfam family "tRNA". From Rfam's summary of the family: Transfer RNA (tRNA) molecules are approximately 80 nucleotides in length. Their secondary structure includes four short double-helical elements and three loops (D, anti-codon, and T loops). The record is from RNAcentral. Lineage: Archaea; Thermoproteati; Thermoproteota; Thermoprotei; Sulfolobales; Sulfolobaceae. RNAcentral also lists the same sequence under 1 other name.